Molecule: unclassified non-coding RNA, 347 nt
Filed under: soil metagenome
Description: partial contains 5.8S ribosomal RNA, internal transcribed spacer 2, and large subunit ribosomal RNA
Rfam family: 5.8S ribosomal RNA (bases 1-120)
Source: RNAcentral
GAUGAAGAACGUAGCGAAAUGCGAUAAGUAAUGUGAAUUGCAGAAUUCAGUGAAUCAUCGAGUCUUUGAACGCACAUUGCGCCCCCUGGUAUUCCGGGGGGCAUGCCUGUCCGAGCGUCAUUGCUGCCCUCAAGCACGGCUUGUGUGUUGGGCCGUCGUCCCCCUCCUAGGGGACGGGCCCGAAAGGCAGCGGCGGCACCGCGUCCGGUCCUCGAGCGUAUGGGGCUUCGUCACCCGCUCCGUAGGCCCGGCCGGCGCUUGCCGACGACCAUCAAUCUCUUUCUCCAGGUUGACCUCGGAUCAGGUAGGGAUACCCGCUGAACUUAAGCAUAUCAAUAAGCGGAGAA